Molecule: long non-coding RNA, 162 nt
Organism: Pteropus alecto (black flying fox)
Lineage: Eukaryota; Metazoa; Chordata; Mammalia; Chiroptera; Pteropodidae
Exons: 3
Source: RefSeq, a predicted model, not a curated record
AAAAAGAGAGCAGAGACAAAGAAUGCGAAGCGGCUGUGGGGCUGCAGGCUCCAACCAUGGGGAAACUGAAGCUCAGAAAGACGAAGUAACUUGUCCGAGGUCACAAAACUGGUGAACACCAAGUUGGCACUAUGGCGGGGCUGGGAAACUGGAGCCUGACCA